This 417-nucleotide long non-coding RNA is filed under the name Sorghum bicolor (sorghum). RNAcentral describes it as "long non-coding RNA (SBIC_LNC016838)". Lineage: Eukaryota; Viridiplantae; Streptophyta; Magnoliopsida; Poales; Poaceae. The record is from RNAcentral.
CCCCCCAUUCAUAGAGCAAAAUCCUUUCCUUUUUUAUGUAACGUUCAUUAGUCGGCAUGUUAAGACAAAAAGAAUCCAAUCCAGUCUCUGGCUUGAUUUCUAUACUUAAUCCGUUCAACCAAAUCAUCAACCAUAAUUAAUCUCUACCUAACAGAUUUUUCCGGCGUAUAAGCAUAUAUAUGUAUUAUUUUAUCAAAACAAGAACAUAAUUAACCUCUACCUGCUUGAUUUCUUUUUUUUUUGGUAUCUACCUACUUGAUUCCUGCAUAUAAUCAAAUUAACCUCUACCUACUUCAUUUCUCUUUUUUUUACGAUGUACCUACUUGAUUCCUCCAUAUAAUCAAAUCACAAACAUAAUUAAUCUCUGACAUGUUUGACUCAAGCUGGAACAUCCCCAAUCAUGCAUAGGUUGUUGAU